UACGUAGGUGACCAGCGUUGUCCGGAUUUACUGGGCGUAAAGAGCGCGCAGGCGGUCGUUCAAGUCGAGUGUGAAAGCCCCCGGCUCAACUGGGGAGGGUCAUUCGAUACUGAUCGACUUGAAGGCAGGAGAGGGAAGCGGAAUUCCCGGUGUAGUGGUGAAAUGCGUAGAUAUCGGAAGGAACAUCAGUGGCGAAAGCGACUUCCUGGACCAAUACUGACGCUCAUGUGCGAAAGCGUGGGGAGCAAACAGG
This 253-nucleotide ribosomal RNA is filed under the name uncultured prokaryote. Its description in RNAcentral is "partial 16S ribosomal RNA". It matches the Rfam family "Bacterial small subunit ribosomal RNA", at positions 524 to 776 of the family's 1533-position model. The record is from RNAcentral.